ACGUCAGCGGUCAACAGAACGGAAUUGAAUGUGACUAUGCAGCUCAAAGCGCGCGACAAAGAGAGCGAGGGCAUGCUUCUUUGCUUCGCGCGAUGAGAGAGAAAGGGAACGAUCGAGUUUUCAAAUAGGGAACUGAGCUUCCAAAAUCGACGACUCUCGAACCAAUCAAUAGUUCGGGUCCUGCGCCGACAAUACUUCCAAUACUGAGAGGUUGCUUAAGAGAAUCAAAGACGUUAGGGACUUCUAUCGUCAGAGGUCAAGUACCAAGAGACUUCUUUUCAUUAGCUCUGAAGGAUUUUGGACUAGUAGCAAUGAGAUUUAAGUUUUCCUUUCUCAUUGUUAUUCUGUGUAUUUGUUUUUAGUUUGCUCAGAUGUGGCGGGAAUUUCAUCUGAUUAUGGACAUACUUCUACAACUCCUUAUCAAUGUUGGAAGUAACGGUAUUGUUGCAUGAAGAGAGAAUGAGUAUAUGCGUGCAGCUUUCUCUCUAACGAAGAUCAUAUGGAUUUAAUGAUGAUUAUAUAGAAUUUCACUCUCUAUGCUUUCUGUUUUGUCAUGAACAGAGAAUGGGUACUUACCUUCUUCAAAAUUGAGUACUUGAUCAUAAAGCGUGAGGCUUUGGUUAUGAUGUUUUUGAUGUUGGGUUGUCAUUGAGCGGUGGGCAGGCAAAGAAGCUCAAAGUUGUGGUACUCGAGCAGCUCAACCGACAGUGACACUAAUGACACAAAGAAAGUUGGUGCUGAAGAAGAUUUUGACGAUUUUCUUAGGUGGCUUGAAAGAUACGAAAUGGAAGCCCGAGUAGUGGAUCCAAAUUAAGAGGGGUUGGGGAUUUCAUGGUGUGCACAAGGUAUUUUUACUCAGUUGAAUGAUAUAGUUUCCUUGUGUAUGUGGACGCAUAUGUCUGCAAAUACAUCUGCAUUGUGUCAUAACGUGUAAAGAUUACUAGGGUAAUUUGACCAGAGCUUCCAAACCAUGUUUACUCCAACAAAAUGAAAAAAAGAAACAUCUAAUUAUAGUUUAUUUUAAUAUGGUUCUGCUUAAGCAAACUCAAAUUGAUCUAAAACUCUUACUGUGAUGUGAUGGAUUUUAGGUGUUGAUACAUACUGGUAGUUCAAUCCUUUCUCUAAACCUUCCUAUGGGGACUGCUUCAUUCAGUGUCUCAUCACUUAAGUUCAUAGACUUCUUUAUGUUAUGAAUUGCAUGAACUCUGAUUCAUUGAAUUGGAGAGCACGAUUAAUUUGAUUGAUAAUCUGUUUUGAAAAUUGUCAGAGUGAGAUAAAUUGCAUCUUUUGGUUCUGUUUUUAUUUUCAUUUUUUUUAUUCAAA
This is a long non-coding RNA of Rosa chinensis, 1323 nucleotides long. RefSeq lists it as uncharacterized. The transcript is spliced from 3 exons. NCBI's taxonomy places the organism in Eukaryota, Viridiplantae, Streptophyta, Magnoliopsida, Rosales, Rosaceae. The record is from RefSeq and is a predicted model, not a curated record.